Molecule: RNA transcript, 1784 nt
Organism: Onychostoma macrolepis
Lineage: Eukaryota; Metazoa; Chordata; Actinopteri; Cypriniformes; Cyprinidae
Gene name: gastrula zinc finger protein XlCGF8.2DB-like
Exons: 3
Source: RefSeq, a predicted model, not a curated record
UUUAAAUCACUUUCAUUUAUUUGUGCAGAUCGGCUUUUUUUUUUUUAAGGAAAAAACAGCGCACCUUUUAGAUGCACCAAGUCAUUUUCCCUCCACGCUACGCUCCAGUCCAGCGGGUGGCGCUAAGACACAUGUUUGUUAAACCUCAGAGGAAGAAGAUUAGUUUUACCGUGCUUUCUGUUGUUUUGUCGGGAUGCUUGCUUGGUACAAACAGAUAGAAAUGUUGUUUCUGUAAAUAUAAUAAUACAGUUUUGGAAUCAGGUCAGUAAAUAUCUGUAAUAUUCUCAUCCUCACAGUAGUGACUAAGUUUUGAAGCAAGCAGGAAUAUCUGGAGGAGUAUCAUCUGAGCUGAGAUCUGCUGCUGUGAAGAUGGUGUUUGUUAAAGAGGAGAGUGAAGAGGACACGAGUGAACCAGAAACCUGGAGAAUAAAACACGAGGAACCAGAAACCUGGAGAAUAAAACACGAAGAACCAGAAACCUGGAGAACAAAACACGAGGAACCAGAAACCUGGAGAAUAAAACACGAGGAACCAGAAACCUGGAGAAUAAAACACGAAGAACCAGAAACCUGGAGAACAAAACACGAGGAACCAGAGCCCUGGAGAAUAAAAUAUGAGGAACAAGGAGCAUUGGUGCUCCCAACUUCAAGAAGUUGCACCAUCAAAAAUUUAGGAGCAUAUUAAGGAGCAUCACAACCGCCAAUUGAGCAGAAGGUCUGGCAAUAUCCUGAUGAUUAAAAGCUUCAUCGAUUGAACCUGAUCCUGAAUUCUUUGAUCUCUCUUGGUCAAUUCUUGCUAAUACUUUAGAAGCCUGAAGACAGUGAAAGAAGAAAGACAAGAUCUGAAUGAAGUGGAGGAGAAACAUAAGGAUCAGAAAGAAAAAUCAGUGAAUUGCAACAUUCAAAUAACAGACGUCAAUAAGCCUUUCAGCUGCUCUCAGUGUGGAAACACUUACAAAUAUAAAGGAAGCCUUAAGAAGCACAUGCUAAUUCAUGCUGGAAUAAAGCCUUUUACCUGCUCUCAUUGUGGAAAGAGUUUUACACAGAAAGGAGACCUUAUGGAUCAUUUGGUAACUCACUCUUCAGAAAAACCUUUCAGCUGCUCUCAGUGUGGAAAGAGUUUCACACGUAAAAGAUACCUUAACACUCACAUGUUAAUUCAUACUGGAAAAAAGCCUUUUACCUGCUCUCAGUGUGGAAAGAGUUUCAUAUGUAAAGGAAUCCUGAGGAAUCACAUGUUAAUUCACACUGGAGUAAAGUCUUUCAGCUGCUGUGAGUGUGGAAAGAGUUUUACACAGAAAGGACACCUUCAGAAUCAUUUGGUAACUCACUCUUCAGAAAAGCCUUUCAGCUGCUCUCAGUGUGGAAAGUCUUUCACACGUAAAGGAUACCUUGAGACUCACAUGUUAAGUCAUGCUGGGUAAAAGCAUUUCAGCUGCUCUCAAUAUGGAUAUGUAAAUGAGGUUUUGAUCAUCACACAAUAAUUCACACUAAAUAACAAUUCAUGCAAAUUAAAAGCCUUACGUCUGUCCUUUUUGUGGCAGGAUAUUUCUAUGGGUUUUAAAAGUGUUAAAAAAAAAUUGUGUGCCGUGUCAGGAUGGAUAUUGUUAAGGUUUUAAAGCUAUUACUGCUCUUACUUUGAGUCCCUUUGGCUCAAUUCUCAGGAUGUGAACUUUUUCUCUCAAAACUGUAAAACUACGUAAUAUGUACAAGCUCUCUGAACAGUUAGUUUCUUGUUCUGUUUAUAUGUAACAUACUGCUACACAAAUAAAAGUACUCUAUAAA